This 740-nucleotide ribosomal RNA is filed under the name uncultured archaeon. Its description in RNAcentral is "bacterial SSU rRNA". It matches the Rfam family "Archaeal small subunit ribosomal RNA", at positions 1 to 750 of the family's 1478-position model. The record is from RNAcentral.
UUCCGGUUGAUCCUGCCGGACCCGACUGCUAUCAGAGUGGGACUAAGCCAUGCGAGUCAACGUAGCAAUACGUGGCAUACGGCUCAGUAACACGUAGUCAACAUGCCCAGGGGACGAGGAUAACCUCGGGAAACUGAGGAUAAACCUCGAUAGGCCAUGAUUUCUGGAAUGAUUCUUGGCACAAACCUAUAUGGCCCCUGGAUUGGACUGCGGCCGAUCAGGCUGUUGGUGAGGUAAUGGCCCACCAAACCUGUAACCGGUACGGGCUCUGAGAGGAGGAGCCCGGAGAUGGGCACUGAGACAAGGGCCCAGGCCCUAUGGGGCGCAGCAGGCGCGAAACCUCUGCAAUAGGCGAAAGCUUGACAGGGUUACUCUGAGUGAUUUCCGUUAAGGAGAUCUUUCGGCACCUCUAAAAAUGGUGCAGAAUAAGGGGUGGGCAAGUCUGGUGUCAGCCGCCGCGGUAAUACCAGCACCCCGAGUGGUCGGGACGUUUAUUGGGCCUAAAGCAUCCGUAGCCGGUUCUACAAGUCUUCCGUUAAAUCCACCUGCUUAACAGAUGGGCUGCGGAAGAUACUAUAGAGCUAGGAGGCGGGAGAGGCAAGCGGUACUCGAUGGGUAGGGGUAAAAUCCGUUGAUCCAUUGAAGACCACCAGUGGCGAAGGCGGCUUGCCAGAACGCGCUCGACGGUGAGGGAUGAAAGCUGGGGGAGCAAACCGGAUUAGAUACCCGGGUAGUCCCAG